GAUCAUGGCUCGAGGACGAACGCUGGCGGCGUGCUUAACACAUGCAAGUCGAGCGAUGAAGCUUCUUCGGAAGUGGAUUAGCGGCGGACGGGUGAGUAACACGUGGGUAACCUGCCUCAUAGAGGGGAAUAGCCUUCCGAAAGGAAGAUUAAUACCGCAUAAGAUUGUAAUAUCGCAUGAUAUAGCAAUUAAAGGAGUAAUCCGCUAUGAGAUGGACCCGCGUCGCAUUAGCUAGUUGGUGAGGUAACGGCUCACCAAGGCGACGAUGCGUAGCCGACCUGAGAGGGUGAUCGGCCACAUUGGGACUGAGACACGGCCCAGACUCCUACGGGAGGCAGCAGUGGGGAAUAUUGCACAAUGGGGGAAACCCUGAUGCAGCAACGCCGCGUGAGUGAUGACGGCCUUCGGGUUGUAAAGCUCUGUCUUCAGGGACGAUAAUGACGGUACCUGAGGAGGAAGCCACGGCUAACUACGUGCCAGCCGCCGC
RNAcentral lists this ribosomal RNA (487 nucleotides) under uncultured bacterium. RNAcentral describes it as "bacterial SSU rRNA". It matches the Rfam family "Bacterial small subunit ribosomal RNA", at positions 15 to 518 of the family's 1533-position model. The record is from RNAcentral.